CCCUUAGAGUUUGAUCCUGGCUCAGGACGAACGCUGGCGGCGCGCCUAACACAUGCAAGUCGAACGAGAGAGAGGAAGCUUGCUUCCUCAAUCGAGUGGCGAACGGGUGAGUAACGCGUGAGGAACCUGCCUCAAAGAGGGGGACAACAGUUGGAAACGACUGCUAAUACCGCAUAAGCCCACGGGUCGGCAUCGACCAGAGGGAAAAGGAGCAAUCCGCUUUGAGAUGGCCUCGCGUCCGAUUAGCUGGUUGGUGAGGUAAUGGCCCACCAAGGCGACGAUCGGUAGCCGGACUGAGAGGUUGAACGGCCACAUUGGGACUGAGACACGGCCCAGACUCCUACGGGAGGCAGCAGUGAGGAAUAUUGCACAAUGGGGGAAACCCUGAUGCAGCGACGCCGCGUGGAGGAAGAAGGUCUUCGGAUUGUAAACUCCUGUUGUUGAGGAAGAUAAUGACGGUACUCAACAAGGAAGGACGGCUAUUCUGU
This 488-nucleotide ribosomal RNA is filed under the name uncultured bacterium. RNAcentral's name for it is "bacterial SSU rRNA". It matches the Rfam family "Bacterial small subunit ribosomal RNA", at positions 1 to 506 of the family's 1533-position model. The record is from RNAcentral.